Long non-coding RNA from Camelus dromedarius (Arabian camel), 1721 nucleotides. RefSeq lists it as uncharacterized. Lineage: Eukaryota; Metazoa; Chordata; Mammalia; Artiodactyla; Camelidae. The transcript is spliced from 3 exons. The record is from RefSeq and is a predicted model, not a curated record.
AAAAACCAAAUUAUUUGUGUCAUUCAUCUUUGAAAAUACACCUGCUUGUCUUCAGCAAAAAGAGGGAAGCAAGUCUCUCUCUGGAAAAAUUCAUAAUUUAGCCUGAGGAAGCUUCACAUAGACAAUGAACCAUAACGCGGUAUACCGAGUGAUGGCCAAAGAAGAACAAAAAGUACUGUGAGAGGACACAGAAGAAAUGAUUUUUACUUCUGGAAGGGUGAAGAUGAGAAGACAGAAGGAUGAGGAGGGCCGGAGGGCCCUGGGUAGAAGGAAGAAGCCUCAAGUCAGGAUAAAAAGCCUGCCAUGGAUGGCACUCCAAGACCUGGGAAAAUGGAUGGGUAUCUACGCAUUUAACUCAUUUAUCUUCCAUCUGCUCUCAUCUACUAAUACCUGGGAAUGCCGAACACCAGGGCAACAUGUGCAAAGGUCUCUCCAGAGCAAGUGUGAAAAGGGCCCAGAAGUCUUGUACCAAGGUAAUUUGAAGAAGAAAAAGGCCAUCCCAAAGGUUAACUAGACAAUUUAAGCUGGACUAUUUGGGACAGUGCAUGAUUGCUGUACAAUAUCCAAGAACAGAACUCAACCAUCUCAACACUGUCCUCUGUUCUAGCAUUAAUAAGCAGAGUACCAAGAACAAGAGAGCCUUGUGAAGUCAGCAGGGGGGAUUGUUUUGACCUGAGUCCUCUGAUUAUUCCAGAGAGUCCUGCUAAGAUCCAGCACUGUUCUUUAUUGUCCCCCCAGAUGAAAAACCACGUGGCCUGAGGUAGGGCAGGCCUACACCAUCCCACUUUCUCUUUUUGCAUAAGAGGACAAAUGUCUUCAGAGGUAUAUCCAUAAGAAGUAACCUACCUCCAGGAAGGGUCAAGGAUCAAAAAUAAAAGGUACAACUUUUAAAAAAAAAUUCUGACUCUGGCAUCACUAUACAUAGCCUAGCUGUCAGAGGGCUCAAUUUGAUCUGCUCCACGAAAGUUAAAAGCGUAAGAAACAAAGGCUCCAACUUUUCAUCCAUCACUGACUCAGAUUCAGCCCAGAAGCCACUAGAACGUCUUCAGAAAAGCUGACAGAGAAUUUCCUCGGGAAGCCCAUUUAUAUCACCAACGAAAUGGCCCCAAGUCCAAAGAAUUCUAGAUGUAAGGAGAGCCAAUCUACCUUUCAUUGAUCAAAAACAGAGACCAGUUCCUUGUGGCAUCAUUGUGCUUCAUGUUCAUUGUCUCCAUGGCAAAGUCAGCAGAAGGGAGAACGAAGUGGGUAGGAUUGAGGGAACCCGAUAUGAUUCUUUGCUGAGUCUCUGCUGCUUCCCCUUCCAAAUAUUUCUCUCGACACCAUUAGGCUGCCCUCUGCGCCCUCGGGGGUGGGGCCCCUCCCACAGUCACCCAGCGCACACACACAAAGUGACCUAGCACUUUUCCGACAUAAAUAAUGCCAUCUGCAGCAACACAGAUGGACCUAGAAAUUAUCAUAUUAAGUGAAAUAAGUCAAAGACAAAUGUCAUAUGAUAUCUCUUACAUGGGACUCUAAAAAAACCUGACACAAAUGAACUUACUUACAAACUGGAAAUAGACUCACAGACAUAGAAAACAAGCUAUGGUUACCAAAGGGGAAAUGGAUGGGGAGGAGGGGUACAUUAGGAGCUUGGGAUUAACAGAUACACACUACUAUAUAUAAAACAGGUAAACAACAAAGACCUACUAUAUAGCACAGAAAACUAUAUUCAAUAGCUUAUA